Molecule: ribosomal RNA, 1434 nt
Filed under: uncultured bacterium
Lineage: Bacteria
Description: bacterial SSU rRNA
Rfam family: Bacterial small subunit ribosomal RNA
Source: RNAcentral
AACGAACGCUGGCGGCGUGGAUAAGACAUGCAAGUCGAACGGGAGAAUUGCUAGCUUGCUAAUAAUUCUCUAGUGGCGCACGGGUGAGUAACACGUGAGUAACCUGCCCCCGAGAGCGGGAUAGCCCUGGGAAACUGGGAUUAAUACCGCAUAGUAUCGAAAGAUUAAAGCAGCAAUGCGCUUGGGGAUGGGCUCGCGGCCUAUUAGUUAGUUGGUGAGGUAACGGCUCACCAAGGCGAUGACGGGUAGCCGGUCUGAGAGGAUGUCCGGCCACACUGGAACUGAGACACGGUCCAGACACCUACGGGUGGCAGCAGUCGAGAAUCAUUCACAAUGGGGGAAACCCUGAUGGUGCGACGCCGCGUGGGGGAAUGAAGGUCUUCGGAUUGUAAACCCCUGUCAUGUGGGAGCAAAUUAAAAAGAUAGUACCACAAGAGGAAGAGACGGCUAACUCUGUGCCAGCAGCCGCGGUAAUACAGAGGUCUCAAGCGUUGUUCGGAAUCACUGGGCGUAAAGCGUGCGUAGGCUGUUUCGUAAGUCGUGUGUGAAAGGCGCGGGCUCAACCCGCGGACGGCACAUGAUACUGCGAGACUAGAGUAAUGGAGGGGGAACCGGAAUUCUCGGUGUAGCAGUGAAAUGCGUAGAUAUCGAGAGGAACACUCGUGGCGAAGGCGGGUUCCUGGACAUUAACUGACGCUGAGGCACGAAGGCCAGGGGAGCGAAAGGGAUUAGAUACCCCUGUAGUCCUGGCAGUAAACGGUGCACGCUUGGUGUGCGGGGAAUCGACCCCCUGCGUGCCGGAGCUAACGCGUUAAGCGUGCCGCCUGGGGAGUACGGUCGCAAGAUUAAAACUCAAAGAAAUUGACGGGGACCCGCACAAGCGGUGGAGUAUGUGGCUUAAUUCGAUGCAACGCGAAGAACCUUACCUGGGCUUGACAUGUAAUGAACAACAUGUGAAAGCAUGCGACUCUUCGGAGGCGUUACACAGGUGCUGCAUGGCCGUCGUCAGCUCGUGUCGUGAGAUGUUUGGUUAAGUCCAGCAACGAGCGCAACCCCUGUUGCCAGUUACCAGCACGUGAAGGUGGGGACUCUGGCGAGACUGCCCAGAUCAACUGGGAGGAAGGUGGGGACGACGUCAGGUCAGUAUGGCCCUUAUGCCCAGGGCUGCACACGUACUACAAUGCCCAGUACAGAGGGGGCCGAAGCCGCGAGGCGGAGGAAAUCCUAAAAACUGGGCCCAGUUCGGACUGUAGGCUGCAACCCGCCUACACGAAGCCGGAAUCGCUAGUAAUGGCGCAUCAGCUACGGCGCCGUGAAUACGUUCCCGGGUCUUGUACACACCGCCCGUCACAUCAUGGAAGCCGGUCGCACCCGAAGUAUCUGAAGCCAACCGCAAGGAGGCAGGGUCCUAAGGUGAGACUGGUAACUGGGAUG